Molecule: ribosomal RNA, 404 nt
Filed under: uncultured bacterium
Lineage: Bacteria
Description: bacterial SSU rRNA
Rfam family: Bacterial small subunit ribosomal RNA
Source: RNAcentral
AGCAGUAGGGAAUAUUGGGCAAUGGGCGCGAGCCUGACCCAGCCAUGCCGCGUGCAGGAAGAAGGCUUUCUGAGUCGUAAACUGCUUUUGACAGGGAAGAAUAAGCGGGUCGUGACCCGUGAUGACGGUACCUGCAGAAUAAGCACCGGCUAACUCCGUGCCAGCAGCCGCGGUAAUACGGAGGGUGCGAGCGUUGUCCGGAUUUAUUGGGUUUAAAGGGUGCGUAGGCGGCCGUUUAAGUCUGGGGUGAAAGCCCGUUGCUCAACAGCGGAACUGCCCUGGAUACUGGAUGGCUUGAGUACAGACGAGGUUGGCGGAAUGGACCGAGUAGCGGUGAAAUGCGUAGAUAUGGUCCAGAACUCCGAUUGCGAAGGCAGCUGACUAGGCUGUUACUGACGCUGAGG